Non-coding RNA from Paramuricea clavata, 284 nucleotides. Lineage: Eukaryota; Metazoa; Cnidaria; Anthozoa; Malacalcyonacea; Plexauridae. The record is from the annotation of a GenBank genome assembly.
CCGCGAUCAUAGCUUUUGGGUCUGAUAAUUUUUUUACACCACAGGAUAUAUUCUACCGUUAUAAUUUCACACAUACAUCUCCAAUUUUAUUUUCCACAAGUCUACACCUGCACUUAUAUUUCUUACUGGUUCACAUUUACACAAAUACAACUCUUUUUUUAUCUUUUUUCCUCAUGCAGUUUCAUCAAAUACAACAUAAUUUUCACAAGCAUGCACUUGUGAACAACACGAAGCCAUCACAUUAUCAUAUUUUAUACUACACCUUUCGAGUAACAUUUGGGGAC